UUUUUUUAAGUAUCCUCCAUGCUGGAUUACAGAAGCCUAAUAGACACUUUCUUUGUUCUUGAAGGGUUAAUAGAAUAUCUUUCUCUUCCAAUAAACAGUUGGAUAAAUAUGAUAAAGUGCUCCUUCAGGAAUUACCAUGGCACAGAUCAUUUCUUCCCUCAGAGAAGUGCCUGGCUUUUGUUUGUUUUUUGCUUUUUGUUUUUUUUGAUGGAGUCUUACUCUGUCGCCCAUGCUGG
This 236-nucleotide long non-coding RNA is filed under the name Homo sapiens (human). Its description in RNAcentral is "non-protein coding lnc-TMEM17-6:1". Lineage: Eukaryota; Metazoa; Chordata; Mammalia; Primates; Hominidae. The record is from RNAcentral.